GGGGAAUAUUGGACAAUGGGCGCAAGCCUGAUCCAGCAAUGCCGCGUGAGUGAUGAAGGCCUUAGGGUUGUAAAGCUCUUUUACCCGGGAAGAUAAUGACUGUACCGGGAGAAUAAGCCCCGACUAACUCUGUGCCAGCAGCCGCGGUAAUACAGAGGGGGCAAGCGUUGUUCGGAAUUACUGGGCGUAAAGGGCGCGUAGGCGGCCCGCUAAGUCGAACGUGAAAUCCCCAGGCUCAACCUGGGAACUGCGUCCGAUACUGGCAGGCUUGAAUCCGGGAGAGGGAUGUGGAAUUCCAGGUGUAGCGGUGAAAUGCGUAGAUAUCUGGAGGAACACCGGUGGCGAAGGCGGCAUCCUGGACCGGUAUUGACGCUGAGGCGCGAAAGCUAGGGGAGCAAA
Molecule: ribosomal RNA, 399 nt
Filed under: uncultured bacterium
Lineage: Bacteria
Description: bacterial SSU rRNA
Rfam family: Bacterial small subunit ribosomal RNA
Source: RNAcentral